GAACGCUGGCGGUAUGCCUAAUACAUGCAAGUCGAACGCUGAAACACUCUGCUUGCAGAGUGUGGAUGAGUGGCGAACGGGUGAGUAACACGUGGGGAACCUGCCCAUAAGAGGGGGAUAACAUCCGGAAACGGGUGCUAAUACCGCAUAGGUGAUCAUAGCGCAUGCUUAGAUCAUUAAAGAUGGCUUCGGCUAUCGCUUAUGGAUGGCCCCGCGGCGUAUUAGCUAGUUGGUGAGGUAAUGGCUCACCAAGGCUGUGAUACGUAGCCGACCUGAGAGGGUGAUCGGCCACACUGGAACUGAGACACGGUCCAGACUCCUACGGGAGGCAGCAGUAGGGAAUCUUCCACAAUGGGCGAAAGCCUGAUGGAGCAAUACCGCGUGAGUGAAGAAGGUCUUCGGAUCGUAAAGCUCUGUUGUUAGAGAAGAACAAGAGGUGUAGUAACUGGCACCUCCUUGACGGUAUCUAACCAGAAAGUCACGGCUAACUACGUGCCAGCAGCCGCGGUAAUACGUAGGUGACAAGCGUUGUCCGGAUUUAUUGGGCGUAAAGCGAGCGCAGGCGGUCUUUUAAGUCUGAUGUGAAAGCCCACGGCUCAACCGUGGAGGGUCAUUGGAAACUGGAAGACUUGAAUGCAGAAGAGGAAAGUGGAAUUCCAUGUGUAGCGGUGAAAUGCGUAGAUAUAUGGAGGAACACCAGUGGCGAAGGCGACUUUCUGGUCUGUAAUUGACGCUGAGGCUCGAAAGCGUGGGGAGCGAACAGGAUUAGAUACCCUGGUAGUCCACGCCGUAAACGAUGAGUGCUAAGUGUUGGAGGGUUUCCGCCCUUCAGUGCUGGAGCUAACGCGUUAAGCACUCCGCCUG
This 864-nucleotide ribosomal RNA is filed under the name uncultured Alkalibacterium sp. RNAcentral describes it as "bacterial SSU rRNA". It matches the Rfam family "Bacterial small subunit ribosomal RNA", at positions 31 to 875 of the family's 1533-position model. Lineage: Bacteria; Bacillati; Bacillota; Bacilli; Lactobacillales; Carnobacteriaceae. The record is from RNAcentral.